AUUGAACGCUGGCGGCAGGCCUAACACAUGCAAGUCGAGCGGAUGAAGGGAGCUUGCUCCUGGCUUCAGCGGCGGACGGGUGAGUAAUGCCUAGGAAUCUGCCUGGUAGUGGGGGAUAACGUCCGGAAACGGGCGCUAAUACCGCAUACGUCCUGAGGGAGAAAGGGGGGGAUCUUCGGACCUCACGCUAUCAGAUGAGCCUAGGUCGGAUUAGCUAGUUGGUGGGGUAAAGGCCUACCAAGGCGACGAUCCGUAACUGGUCUGAGAGGAUGAUCAGUCACACUGGAACUGAGACACGGUCCAGACUCCUACGGGAGGCAGCAGUGGGGAAUAUUGGACAAUGGGCGAAAGCCUGAUCCAGCCAUGCCGCGUGUGUGAAGAAGGUCUUCGGAUUGUAAAGCUCUUUAAGUUGGGAGGAAGGGCAGUGAGUUAAUACCUUGCUGUUUUGACGGUACCAACAGAAUAAGCACCGGCUAACUACGUG
RNAcentral lists this ribosomal RNA (484 nucleotides) under uncultured bacterium. RNAcentral's name for it is "partial 16S ribosomal RNA". It matches the Rfam family "Bacterial small subunit ribosomal RNA", at positions 30 to 507 of the family's 1533-position model. The record is from RNAcentral.